ACGCGAUACACUGCCAACCGGUCGCUC
This 27-nucleotide small RNA is filed under the name Bombyx mori (domestic silkworm). RNAcentral describes it as "ovarian small RNA-11516". Lineage: Eukaryota; Metazoa; Arthropoda; Insecta; Lepidoptera; Bombycidae. The record is from RNAcentral.